RNAcentral lists this transfer RNA (69 nucleotides) under Rattus norvegicus (Norway rat). It matches the Rfam family "tRNA". From Rfam's summary of the family: Transfer RNA (tRNA) molecules are approximately 80 nucleotides in length. Their secondary structure includes four short double-helical elements and three loops (D, anti-codon, and T loops). Lineage: Eukaryota; Metazoa; Chordata; Mammalia; Rodentia; Muridae. The record is from Rfam by way of RNAcentral.
GGGGAUUUGGCUCAGUGGUAGAGCGCUUGCCUAGCAAGCACAAGGCCCUGGGUUCAGUCCCCAGCUCCU